This 692-nucleotide ribosomal RNA is filed under the name uncultured archaeon. RNAcentral describes it as "bacterial SSU rRNA". It matches the Rfam family "Archaeal small subunit ribosomal RNA", at positions 1 to 681 of the family's 1478-position model. The record is from RNAcentral.
UCCGGUUGAUCCUGCCAGAGGCCGCUGCUAUCCGGCUGGGACUAAGCCAUGCUAGUCUAGGGGCUUGUACCCCUUCGGGGGUGCAAGCACCGGCGGACGGCUCAGUAACACGUGGACAACCUGCCCUCGGGUGGGGGAUAACCCCGGGAAACUGGGGCUAAUCCCCCAUAGGUGAUGGGUGCUGGAAUGCCCCAUCUCCGAAAGCGCUCAGCGCCCGAGGAUGGGUCUGCGGCGGAUUAGGUAGUUGGUGGGGUAACGGCCCACCAAGCCUAAGAUCCGUACGGGCUGUGGGAGCAGGAGCCCGGAGAUGGACCCUGAGACAAGGGUCCAGGCCCUACGGGGCGCAGCAGGCGCGAAACCUCCGCAAUGCGGGAAACCGCGACGGGGUUAGCCGGAGUGCCCGUGCAUUGCACGGGCUGUCGGGGUGCCUAAACAGCACCCCAUAGCAAGGGCCGGGCAAGGCCGGUGGCAGCCGCCGCGGUAAGACCGGCGGCCCGAGUGGCGGCCACUCUUAUUGGGCCUAAAGCGUCCGUAGCCGGCCCAGUAAGUCCCCCGGGAAAUCUGGUCGCUUAACGAUCAGACUUCCGGGGGAUACUGCUGGGCUAGGGACCGGGAGAGGCCGAGGGUAUUCCCGGGGUAGGGGUGAAAUCCUGUAAUCCCGGGAGGACCACCUGUGGCGAAGGCGCUCGGCU